UUGAAUUAUGGGUUGUGCUGGUUCUUACAAGUGCACGCCCUAUCAAUUUCUUACACCUGUGCACCUUUGUGGGUUGGGGAAACCCGAUCCAUUUUUAUAUACCCCUUUUUAUUGUCAUUGAAUGUCUCGUCUUGCAAAAGACACAAAAAUUAUA
RNAcentral lists this unclassified non-coding RNA (154 nucleotides) under uncultured fungus. RNAcentral's name for it is "sequence contains ITS1, 5.8S rRNA gene". Lineage: Eukaryota; Fungi. The record is from RNAcentral.